CUUUUUCUGUGACAUCAAGUGUAGUAUCUAUUCUUAUCAGUUUAAUAUCUGCUAUGUCCUCAACACAACUGAUUUUUAAAAUUUUUGGUUAUGGUGAUUUUUAUUGGGACAUGUGAAAAUGAAAGUAGGAAAUAUCUCAUUCAGUCUCUCAGUGCUUCACCAACU
Molecule: small nuclear RNA, 165 nt
Filed under: Monodon monoceros (narwhal)
Lineage: Eukaryota; Metazoa; Chordata; Mammalia; Artiodactyla; Monodontidae
Description: U2 spliceosomal RNA (ENSMMNG00015019889.1)
Rfam family: U2 spliceosomal RNA
About the family: U2 is a small nuclear RNA (snRNA) component of the spliceosome (involved in pre-mRNA splicing).
Source: RNAcentral